GUGUCAGCCGCCGCGGUAAUACAGAGGUCUCAAGCGUUGUUCGGAUUCAUUGGGCGUAAAGGGUGCGUAGGCGGUGAGGUAAGUUGGAUGUGAAAUCCCGGAGCUUAACUCCGGAACUGCAUUCAAUACUGCCUUGCUAGAGUACUGGAGAGGAGAUUGGAAUUCACGGUGUAGCAGUGAAAUGCGUAGAUAUCGUGAGGAAGACCAGUGGCGAAGGCGAAUCUCUGGACAGUGACUGACGCUGAGGCACGAAGGCUAGGGGAGCAAACGGGAUUAGAUACCCGGGUAGUCC
RNAcentral lists this ribosomal RNA (292 nucleotides) under uncultured bacterium. RNAcentral's name for it is "partial 16S ribosomal RNA". It matches the Rfam family "Bacterial small subunit ribosomal RNA", at positions 505 to 796 of the family's 1533-position model. The record is from RNAcentral.